GUCUACAGCCAUGCCACCCUGAACAUGCCUGAUCCCGUCUGAUCUCAGAAGCUAAGCAGGGUUGGGCCUGGUUAGUACUUGGAUGGGAGACCACUUAGGAAGACCAGGUGCUGUAGGCA
This 119-nucleotide ribosomal RNA is filed under the name Pteropus alecto (black flying fox). The record is from RNAcentral. Lineage: Eukaryota; Metazoa; Chordata; Mammalia; Chiroptera; Pteropodidae.